GAACGCUGGCGGCAUGCCUUACACAUGCAAGUCGAACGGCAGCACGGGUGCUUGCACCUGGUGGCGAGUGGCGAACGGGUGAGUAAUACAUCGGAACGUACCUUAUCGUGGGGGAUAACGCAGCGAAAGCUGUGCUAAUACCGCAUACGCCCUGAGGGGGAAAGCGGGGGAUCGAAAGACCUCGCGCGAUUAGAGCGGCCGAUGCCUGAUUAGCUUGUUGGUGGGGUAAAAGCCCACCAAGGCGACGAUCAGUAGCUGGUCUGAGAGGACGAUCAGCCACACUGGGACUGAGACACGGCCCAGACUCCUACGGGAGGCAGCAGUGGGGAAUUUUGGACAAUGGGGGGAAACCCUGAUCCAGCAAUGCCGCGUGAGUGAAGAAGGCCUUCGGGUUGUAAAGCUCUUUUGUCAGGGAAGAAACACCGGCUCUAACACAGUCCGGGAAUGACGGUACCUGAAGAAUAAG
This 466-nucleotide ribosomal RNA is filed under the name uncultured bacterium. RNAcentral's name for it is "bacterial SSU rRNA". It matches the Rfam family "Bacterial small subunit ribosomal RNA", at positions 31 to 490 of the family's 1533-position model. The record is from RNAcentral.